AACUGCUAUGCUCCAGGUACUGCGAUAAACACUGGACAAAUGUUGGAAAGCUAAAAAGGCAUAUUCCUCUUAUAAAGACAUUAUUUACUUGUAACAAACAAGUAAAUAAAUGUAUUAGUCAAUAUAGUUGCUCCUUGUCCUUAUAUGAAGUAGAUUCCAGACCUCACAAUUGUAUAUGCCUAUCCUUCUACUCCAACCCCUCAAAAAAAGAGGAAGAAUGAACAAGAGAAAAAGAAGGAAGGAAGAGAGGGAGAGAGGAAAGGAGGGAAGGAUGGUCCUGAAGAUCCCAGUUCGGUGCUGAAAAAAGCAUUUCUAUUAAACUUCUUCAAGACAGAAUGAGUGACCAUAGCUAAUAAUGUACCUUAAGCUUUUCUAGAAUCUUUGUAUUAAAAAAGUUGAUUGUUACUAAAUGUAUUUUAAUCUCGUAAAAUUUUAGGAAUUUAAAUGAAGAAUUUCACAAAGGGUAAGAAAAAUUUUAUAUUUAUAAAUUUGUCGUUAUGAUUCUCCCAUUGUGGAAAAAAAAAUCUCGGGACCCCAAUUCACUAUGCCAAAAGGAAAAAAGUAAGCUGAAUGCUGAGUCAUGCAAGAAACUGCUUGCUUUUUUUCCUAAGCUAAUAGCUACAGAUAAAAGGUCAGAUAUCUCCAUAGGUAGGUACUCUAUGUUCACCUUAUGUAAAGUGCCAAUUUAUUGAGCAUGAGAGGAAUACCUAAUUGACUAUUCCCCAACCUGCUCCUUUUCUCUUGCAAUAUAUGGAGUCAGUAAUGGGACCAUAUCCUCUCUCUUUCCCCUCUAGCCUGCUUUCCCCCUUUAAAUACUGAAGCCCUCAAAAUCAUCUUUCUAAAAAGGUAUGAACCAUAGACUGUUCCUGUGGAUUUGUGUUUUCUUCCGGGCAAAUCCUUAAGCUUGGCAAAAUAAAAUUCUGAAUUGAUUGA
Nomascus leucogenys (northern white-cheeked gibbon) is the source of this 933-nucleotide long non-coding RNA. RefSeq lists it as uncharacterized. The transcript has 2 exons. NCBI's taxonomy places the organism in Eukaryota, Metazoa, Chordata, Mammalia, Primates, Hylobatidae. The record is from RefSeq and is a predicted model, not a curated record.